Molecule: non-coding RNA, 151 nt
Filed under: uncultured Phascolarctobacterium sp.
Lineage: Bacteria; Bacillati; Bacillota; Negativicutes; Acidaminococcales; Acidaminococcaceae
Source: RNAcentral
GGUGACGUGAGUCUUAAUAGAGAAGCAGGGUGUAAAUUCCCUCACGAUCCCGUCGCUGUGAUAGUGAGUAUUCCAAAAUAUGCCACUGGAUAUUUAUCUGGGAAGGCUUGGAAAUACAAUGAACUUAAGUCAGAAGAACUGCCUGAUAAUU